CGGUUUACAUUAAACUGCUGUAUGCUUUACAGCUGAAUCCCCCAAAUUCUUCAUCAAACGCAAACCAAGUUCAACAAUAUCAAUUGUCCCCAGGAGAACAUCCGAGAAUUCAGGUACUUGUUCUGGAUACUUGAUCACAAACAUGUCCAAGAAUUUUUCUUCAGAAUAUCCAAGAAUAGAAGCUAAACUGAUUUCUGCUCUGAUCAAACCCUUUAGAAUCAAAACUCUUAAAACUGAACACCUUGGAACAACCCUCUUCUCGAAACUAUAACAUAAAACAACUGGAUAUUUUGCAAUAAUUGCAGGCUGCCAACCCAUUUUGUUCACAAGAAAAUCUAUCUUCUUUAUAAUUGUCUUCUCUGAGUAACCCAUACACAGUGGACGCUUUUUGAUGACAGACCAUAUUUCUUCUUCCGAAAAACCCAACCUACUGAAAGCAUCAAUUUUUUGUUUCCAUGUUUUGGAUUUCAUUUGCAUUAUCAUUCGAAGAGCAUUGGCAAAUGAAAUAUUCCGAGGAUCAAAUCCCAUACCUACAACAUUUUUAAUAGCUUCACUAAACCUUUCAGAAUUUGCGCAUACAGCGUUGGGGCAAUUGGUAAUCAAAAUAGAGAUGGUAGAUUGACGCAUUCCGAGCUCUCUUAAGACUGAUAAAUUAACAGGCAAGUGUUCCUUGACAUAGCACAUGUUGAAUGCUGAUAUGCGUUUCAAUAUAAUAAGGCCUCACUCAUCAGAAAAUAACAAACUUUUAAUAACAGCAUAAACUGGGAUCAAAAGAUUGUUCAAGCUGCCAGACAAGAAAACGGGGUUCUUAGAUAUCAUCACCGGAAGGUCAGAAACCCCAAUAGAACGUAAAAAUUGAAUCUUUGGUAAUAUUGUCUUCACGGGAUCGAAUAAAAUCAACUUGGGCUGUCCCCUAAUAACUUGAGAUAUCUGGUAUUUGGUGAGUCCAUAGUCUUUGAGAAGAUUAAUGACAGCAUCUGGUCUUUCGGAGUUUUCAAAAUUUACGUACUUUGAAACACGUUUAGCAGAUUGUGAGGAUAAGCCACAUGAGUUGAUGAGGUAUGACACUGUAAAAGAGUGUGUAUUAGAUUUAGAUGAAAAAUACCUGAUUGUAACCAGUGCUUUAAAAUGAAUAAUACCCAAUUGGGCACUGUUCGAGUCUAACAGCGCACGACUCCAAUCAUUUAACGCCAAUCUUCUAUUGGAGAAACGGAACAUCAUAUGAAAGGCCAACUCACCGAGUUUAGGAGGGGAAACAGCUGGAAUUGGACGUUUUGCUUUAUCUGCCUUGUAAAUCAGUGAGCUAUAAAAUCGAAAAUACGAUUUUUACCCAGAAAACCAUUCAGCAAUACGAAACUUUCUGAGAAUUUAACAUCAAAAGAGCCAUAAUAUUGCCUGCUCUGCCUCCAUUCCGGCAGUUCAAGAUAGGUCACGGUACUUAAGCGUUUUAGGGUUUUGCAGUUGCAAGAGCGAAGAGGAGAAAUCAAUUAUAUUUACUCAAACACGCUGCCGUUUUCAGUUAGCUGGUGCUUUUAGAGGCUGAGUCCAGCAUGGGUCAGCAUAAUACCAGGCCCAACUCGAACCGAAACUGCAUUUCUUUCCCUGAACUGAUUUCACCGUUGUUGUUGCUUUUCAUUUGUAAUAAAAUUAUUUGUAAUGGAAAACAGUUACAAAAUGAUAUAUAGGGAUAUGCAGUUGCAAAAGAGAGCGAGAGUGAAGAGGAGAAAUCAAUUUUCAAUGUAAUUUUACAUUUUUUAUCAUUUCGCAGUUGAUUGCCGUUGUCAUUGCAUUUGUCAUUACAUCUACAACUACUAAGGACGAAUUCCAAACCAUCACAUAUCAGCAAUAAUUCUAAAAACUGAAAAAAGAAAAGAAAAGAUAAGUUCAAAAUGAUUCUGUACAAAUUACAAUAAUCAUCUUUUCUUUUGUUUUGUUUUACUUUCUCCUUCAUCUGCAGCUAUUGCUCCCACUCGAGUCUGUCUUCACCUUGAUUGUUAGUAUACGUGAAUAGUAUCCGUGAAUAGUAUCAGUAUACAUAAAUAGUAUCAGUAUACGUAAAUAGUACUAAUAUAUUUGAAUAGUAUCAGUAUACGCCGACGCCAAUAGUACUGUUUACAACCAACUUUGAGUUACUGUUUUACUAUUCACUACUAAGCGAUUGUUUUACUAUUCACCACUAAGUCGAUUGUUUUACUAUUCACCACUAAGUCGAUCUACAACUUCUUUCCGAGCGUAUAGCACCGAUGAACUCAUCGUAAUUUUCUUAUCGUCGUGGUAUAUUUGUUUUCAAAAUAUAUCCACGGAUCUGGUCCCGCUAUCUGACCAGCUGGACCUGCCGAAACCUUCGGCUCUGAUACCAGUUGUUGAAAAAAAUUACGCAAAAUCCCCAAUAACUUAGAUUUAUGAGGGAGCAAAAGAAAAUAAUAACACACAAUUUGAUAAUGGAGUUCGGCCAAUCUUGCCUACUUCUCCGGACUGCCACAUAUCUUUUAUAGAGAAAAAUAAAUAAAGUAUUUACAUACACUCACAACCCGCUAUCCAAGAAUACCCGAAAAAUUAAACUUAAUUUUUCUUCUUGCAUAAUCUCUCUAUUUUUCUCUCUUACAGUUGCUCUCUCUCUCAAUUGCUAUCACUCUCUAUUUGUCUUGUGUAUUUAAAUGAACUUCGUCUGCCUCUUUUUAUAGGCAGUUGUAUACUUUGUCAAAAGAAAAUUGACAACUUUUCUUCUUUUCCAAAUAACACGUUUUCCUUUUUUUUUUUUUUUCUUUUUUUCUUUUGCACAUGUGGGUCCCAUUUAAGUGGGACCACCAAAACCAACUUUGACAAGGUCCACCUAGAAGGAAGCAAUAAUACAAGGCAAAAGAUUAUUGACAUAUGAUUUGUAUCCAGUUUCUACGAGUUAGGUUCUCCAUUCUCACCGCAACUUGCUGUUAAAUUUUUUGUCAAAAUCUUCACCUUGUGGCAGUUCUUUUUCAUGAAAUUUCAAUGUAACUUUACAUUUUUUAUCAUUUCGUAGUUGUUUGCAUUUGUCAUUACAUAUCUUCAACUACUAAUGACGAAUACCAACCAUCACAUAUCAGCAAUAAUUCCAUAAAUUGGAAAAAGAAAAGAAAAGUUUAAAAUAAUUCUAUACAAAUUGCAAUAAUCAUCUUUUCUUAUCAGCUCCAAAAUCUUUUCUUUUCUUUUGUUUCACUUUCUCCGACUUCAUGUUGAUAUUGAUUUCACUCUUCUUCAGUAAUUCCCUCAGGAUAAAUCUGCAGAAAGAUUGGAACAUGUAAAAAUGAAAUUGUCAGUAAAGAAUUAUAUAUAUAUAUAUAUAUAUAUAUAUAUAAAGGGAGAGCGAAAAAAGAAAAAUUAUCUUACCUGACUGCGAUUUUCUUCAUGGAAACUUACGGUUCUAACUUUGAACUCCCCUCUGCUAGUAGUUAGCUCAUCUAACAUUUCUGCGUAACACACUUGGACUUUCCCUUCCUAAUUUCCUAAACCAGUUGCUUCAUUUUCCUGAUAAUUAAAAAGAAAAUGCACAAAAUUAGUACUAAUCCAAAAAAAUGUAUGUAUAGACUAAAGAUUGAAUAAACAGAUGGACAUACUGUCAAAGAAAGGCUGAAAGAUAGUCGUGGAGCUCUGGUAAUUUCCUCAUAUUCAGCUACAUCUAGUUCUCUUAAAUGAUGAGGACUAAACAGUUUGUAGAGGCUGAGUGCAUGGGUAUACACCGGGCCCAACUCGAACCGACAAUGCUUCCCUCCUAACUUGUGAUUUUCCUCUCAAAAAUUAUGAGAUUAUUGCGAGUUCAAUAUUCCAACCUAAUUAAUUGGAAAAAGUUCCCAAAGAAAAGCAGUGGUUCUGUACAAAAUCCUCCCUUUGAUUAAGAAAAGCAACGCAAAACUAAUUACCAUACAUGUCUAUGGAUUGACAAUGUUUAAUUUCAAAUUACAUGGUCUUUGCUGUUCAUUUUUAGAUAAAAAUUUUUGGUGAACAAAAAGCAUUUACAGAAUACUACUAGUACAAGACACACGAAUCUUCUUAUUAACAAAUAAAUUGAUAGACUCACCUAUUACAAGUUAAUUAGAAAAAGUAACCUCAUUUCAGUCAAGCUAAUGCAAUGUUGUGUCCGGUUUACAUUAAACUGCUGUAUGCUUUACAGCUGAAUCCCCAAAAUUCUUCAUCAAACUCAAACCCAGUUCAACAAUAUCAAUUUUCCCCAGGAGAACAUCCGAGAAUUCAGGUACCUGUUCUCGAUGCUUGAUCACAAACAUGUCCAAGAAUUUUUCUUCAGAAUAUCCAAGAAUAGAAGUUAAACUGAUUUCUGCUCUGAUCAAACCCUUUAGAAUCAAAACUCUUAUAACUGAACACCUUGGAACAACCCUCUUCUCGAAACUAUAACUUAAAACAAUUGGAUGUUUUGCAACAAUUGCAGGCUGCCAACCCAUUUUGUUCACAAGAAAAUCUAUCUUCUUUAUAAUUGUCUUCUCUGAUAAACUCAUACACAGUGGACGCUUUUUGAUAACAGACCAUAUUUCUUCUUCCGAAAACCCCGACCUACUGUAAGCAUCAAUUUUUUGUUUCCAUGUUUUGGAAUUCAUUUGAAUUAUCAUUCGAAGAGCAUCGGCAAAUGAAAUAUUCAGAGGAUCAAAUCCCAUACCUACAACAUUUUUAAUAGCUUCACUAAACCUUUCAGAAUUUGUGCAUACAGCGUUGGGGGAAGUGGUAAUCAAAAUAGAGAUGGUAGAUUGGCGCAUUCCGAGCUCUCUUAAGACUGAUAAAUUAACAGGCAAGUGUUCCUUGACAUAGCACAUGUUGAAUGCUGAUAUGCGUUUCAAUAUAAUAAGCACUUUCUCAUCAGAAAAUACCAAACUUUUAAUAAAAUCAUAAAAUGGGAUCAAAAGAUUGUUCAAGCUGCCAGACAAGAAAACUGGGUUCUUAGAUAUCAUCACCGGAAGGUCUGAGCCAGAAACCCCAAUCGAACGUAAAAAUUGAAUCUUUGGUAAUAUUGUCUUCACGGGAUCGAAUAAAAUCAACUUGGGCUGUCCCCUAAUAACUUGAGAUAUCUGGUAUUUGGUGAGUCCAUAGUCUUUGAGAAGACUAAUGACAGAAUCUGGUCUUUCAGUGUUUUCAAAAUUUACGUACUUUGAAACAAGUUUAGCAGAUUGUGAGGAUAAGCCACAUGAGUUGAUGAGAUAGGACACUGUAAAAGAGUGUUGAUUAGAUUUAGAUGAGAAAUACCUGACCGUAAGCAGCUCUUUAAAAUGAAUAAUACCCAAUUGGGUACUGUUUGAGUCUAACAGAACAUGACUCCAAUCAUUUAACGCCAAUCUUCCACUGAAGAAACGGAACAUCGUAUGAAAGGCCAACUCACCGAGUUUAGGAGGGGAAACAGCUGGAAUUGGACGUUUUGCUUUAUCUGCCUUGUAAAUCAGUGAGCUAUAAAAUCGAAAAUACGAUUUUUACCCAGAAAACCAUUCAGCAAUACGAAACUUUCUGAGAAUUUAACAUCAAAAGAGCCAUAAUAUUGCCUGCUCUGCCUCCAUUCCGGCAGUUCAAGAUAGGUCACGGUACUUAAGCGUUUUAGGGUUUUGUGUUUUAGGGUUUUGCAGUUUCAAGAGGGAAGAGGAGAAAUCAAUUUUAUUUACUCAAACACGCUGCCGUUUUUACUUAGCUGGUGCUUUUAGAGGCUGAGUCCAGCAUGGGUCGGCAUAAUACCAGGCCCAACUCGAACCGAAACCGCGUUUCUUUCUCUGAACUGAUUUCACUGUUGUUAUUGCUGUUCAUUUUUAAUAAAAUUAUUGGCAAUGGAAAACAGUUACAAAAUGAUUUAUAGGGAUAUGCAGUUGCAAAAGAGAGCGAGAGGAAAGAGGAGAAAUCAAUUUUCAAUGUAAUUUUACAUUUUUUAUCAUUUCGUAGUUGCUUGCCUUUGUCAUUACAUCUACAACUACUAAUGAGGAAUACCAAACCGUCACAUAUCAGCAAUAAUUCUAAAAAUUGGAAAAGAAAAGAAAAGUUCAAAAUGGUUCUGUACAAAUUACAAUAUCAUCUUUUCUUAGCAGCUACAAAAUCUUUUCUGUUUUGUUUUACUCUUCUUCAGUAAUUCCCUCAGGAUAAAUCUGCAGUAAAGAAAUGAACAUGUAAAAAUGAAAAUAUCAGUAAAGAAUUAUAUAUACAUAUACAUAUAUAUACGAAGAAAGAGCGAAAAAAGAAAAAUUGUCUCACCUGACUGCGAUUUUCUUCAUGGAAGCUUACAGUUCUAACUUUGAACUCCCCUCUGCUAGUAGUUAGCUCAUCUAACAUUUCCGCAUCAAACACUUGGAUUUUCCCUUCCUCAUUUCCUAAACCAGUUGCUUCAUUUUCCUGAUAAUUAAAAGGAAAAUGCACAAAUUAGUACUAAUCCAAAAAAAUGUAUAUAUAGACUAAAGAUUGAAUAAACAAAGAUUGAAUAAACAGAUGGACAUACUCUCAAAGAAAGGCUGAAAGAUAAUCGUGGAGCUCUGGUAAUUUCCUCAUAUUCAGCUGCACCUAGUUCUCGUAAAUGAUGACUAAAUAGUUUAGGAAAUAUGUGCUGCUUAUCCAAAUCAGAAUAAAGAAGCGCAAUGGAAACAGAACUCCAGCUAUUGGAACCCAUGUAACACCAAAACAGACCAGGAAAUACACCAACUGUAUGAGUGUAAAAAUAGCAGUGUACUUGAAUGGAACUGAUUCAAGAAAUGAAGCAUGAACUCUUUCCAACACCCUGUCAAAAGAAAAUUAUCAGCAAACAUAUAUACUAACUUCAAGAAACCAUAUGCAAUAAAAUAUUUAACUAAAAAAACUUUACUUGUAGCGCCUUCCAGGCAUGACGAAAAGAAGUAGUAUUCUUUCCCAGAACUGAUUUCCAGGUAAACUGUCAAUAGCCAUGUACGCAAAGUAUCCCCAGAGAACUGAUGUAGGUAUUAGCUUUAUUGCAGGCAUAGCGCAUACUGAUCCUGCUACUAGAAGCGACUGCAAAAGAUUGCUCACUCUUUGUUCAUUAACUCUAACAGGCAAGUAAGCAUCAAUAUGCUUCUCAGGAUCAAUUGCAUAUUUGGGAUUUUCUUCCUUGUCUUCCCCUUUCCUCACUGCCUCCUUCAAGUCUUCCAGCUCUUUAGCUACUGCAAUCUGCAGUUAAACGCAGACUUUGAGUAUUAGCAAUUGUUUGAUACAUUGGGGACAUACUUGUGCAAUUCUACAUUUGGACUUACAGCUGGACUACUGUCCAUUUCUAUGAAUAAAGCUUGCAUCUUGCCAUAUAUUUCCGAGUUGCUAGCUUUCUGUUUGAUGCUUUCUUUAGCACUUUCAACCAUUUUCCUCCGAAUCAACUGCACAUUAUUAGACCGAUUAAAGAAGUACAGUUUAUGGACCUUACACUAUAAGAAAGUACUCCUUUGAGUAGUUAAAAGAAAAAAACUGGAUACUAAUAAGCAUUAGAAAAAACACACCAUAACCAAAAACCUUUCACUAACAUUUCAUAUGUUAUUAAUUAUUACUUCUAACAUGCAUCAAACUAUGUUAAAUCUUUUAUUUGUUGUGGUGUUACCUGUCUCUUUAGGACAGCAAGGCUCUUUGUGUGCAUCGGCGACUGGGGUAGAACUCCAUUUGUAGGAGGUAGUCCAAGCAAUCCACAAAGCAAAGUCUGGAAAACCAUUUAGAUAAUAAUUGAAUAUAGGGUUUUGGAAGAAAGCAUAGGAAAAUAGACGGUUUAAGGUAUUAUAUAGGCACGUACCAGAAAUCCUAGCAAUAAAAUGUCAUAAUGGUAUGCAGAAGGAUUUUUAAGAUUGAACUCCUUUUGUUGUGCAAGCUGCGAAGCUACACUGUGGUCGAAAAAGUAAAGUCCUGCUAUCAUCAGAGCAGGAAUAAAGGCUGCAAAGAUGUAUGCUGGAGGAACAUUUCCCAUAUCCUGAAGAUUGAAUAAACAGAUGGACAUACUCUCAAAGAAAGGCUGAAAGAUAGUCGUGGAGCUCUGGUAAUUUCCUCAUAUUCAGCUGCAUCUAGUUCUCGUAAAUGAUGAGGACUAAACAGUUUUUAGAGGCUGAGUCCAGCAUGGGUAUACCAGGCCCAACUCGAAGAACCAAAACUAAUGAUCAUAACAUGUCUGUGGAUUGACAAUGUUUAAUUUCAAAUAACAUGGCCUUUGCUGUUCAUUUUUAGAUAAAAAUUUUUGGUGACUAAAAAGCAUUUACAGAACGAGAAACUUAAGACAUAAAUAACAGCAAAAGCUUAGGGAGAACUUGAACAAGGAGAGGAUACUACUAGUACAAGACACACGAAUCUUCUUAUUAACAAAUAAAUUGAUAGACUCGCCUAUUACAAGUUAAUUAGAAAAAGUAACCUCAUUUCAGUCAAGCUAAUGCAAUAUUGUGUCCGGUUUACAUUAAACUUCUGUAUGCUUUACAGCUGAAUCCCCCAAAUUCUUCAUCAAACUCAAACCAAGUUCGACAAUAUCAAUUUUCCCCAGAAGAACAUCCGAGAAUUCAGGUACUUGUUCUUGAUACUUGAUCACAAACAUGUCCAAGAAUUUUUCUUCAGAAUAUCCAAGAAUAGAAGCUAAACUGAUUUCUGCUCUGAUCAAACCCUUCAGAAUCAAAACUCUUAAAACUGAACACCUUGGAACAACCCUCUUAUCGAAACUAUAACAUAAAACAACUGGAUAUUUUGCAACAAUUGCAGGCUGCCAACCCAUUUUGUUCACAAGAAAAUCUAUCUUCUUUAUAAUUGUCUUCUCUGAGUAACCCAUACACAGUGGACGCUUUUUGAUAACAGACCAUAUUUCUUCUUCCGAAAAACCCG
RNAcentral lists this long non-coding RNA (8796 nucleotides) under Jatropha curcas. RNAcentral describes it as "long non-coding RNA (JCUR_LNC001385)". The record is from RNAcentral. Lineage: Eukaryota; Viridiplantae; Streptophyta; Magnoliopsida; Malpighiales; Euphorbiaceae.